UGAUCCAACGGGUAGGACAGGCCUUGCAACGAGGUCAACAACGGGACAACCAGCUCGCACAAGUCCCGUCGUCCGUUGAGGGUCCCAACGACGAGAUCUGGGACAACCUCCGUGCCGUGAAGAUCCA
Molecule: non-coding RNA, 127 nt
Filed under: uncultured Nitzschia
Lineage: Eukaryota; Bacillariophyta; Bacillariophyceae; Bacillariales; Bacillariaceae
Source: RNAcentral